RNAcentral lists this transfer RNA (70 nucleotides) under Aeshna mixta. RNAcentral describes it as "tRNA-Val". Lineage: Eukaryota; Metazoa; Arthropoda; Insecta; Odonata; Aeshnidae. The record is from RNAcentral.
AUAAAUGUAAGAAUUUAUCUUACAGAUAGUACUUGCAACUUAAUGAUUUUUUAUUUGAAGUAUUAAGAGG